This 382-nucleotide ribosomal RNA is filed under the name uncultured bacterium. RNAcentral describes it as "bacterial SSU rRNA". It matches the Rfam family "Bacterial small subunit ribosomal RNA", at positions 917 to 1322 of the family's 1533-position model. The record is from RNAcentral.
GGGCCCGCACAAGCGGUGGAGCAUGUGGUUUAAUUCGAUGAUACGCGAGGAACCUUACCAGGGCUUAAAUGUAGUUUGACCGGUCUGGAAACAGACUUUCUCUUCGGAGCAGAUUACAAGGUGCUGCAUGGUUGUCGUCAGCUCGUGCCGUGAGGUGUUAGGUUAAGUCCUGCAACGAGCGCAACCCACAUCCCUAGUUGCCAGCAGUUCGGCUGGGCACUCUAUGGAAACUGCCCGUGAUAAGCGGGAGGAAGGUGUGGAUGACGUCAAGUCCUCAUGGCCCUUACGGGUUGGGCUACACACGUGCUACAAUGGUGGUGACAAUGGGUUAAUCCCAAAAAGCCAUCUCAGUUCGGAUUGGGGUCUGCAACUCGACCCCAUG